Molecule: non-coding RNA, 91 nt
Organism: Epithele typhae
Lineage: Eukaryota; Fungi; Basidiomycota; Agaricomycetes; Polyporales; Epitheliaceae
Source: the annotation of a RefSeq genome assembly
GGCCGGCUGGCCUAAUGGUUAAGGCGUCAGUUUCCGGCUUUACGCAGGAAAUCGUAGCUGAAGAUUCUGGGUUCGAAUCCCAGGUUGGUCG